Molecule: unclassified non-coding RNA, 404 nt
Filed under: soil metagenome
Description: partial contains 5.8S ribosomal RNA, internal transcribed spacer 2, and large subunit ribosomal RNA
Rfam family: 5.8S ribosomal RNA (bases 1-122)
Source: RNAcentral
GAUGAAGAACGUAGCAAAAUGCGAUACUUGGUGUGAAUUGCAGAAUCCCGUGAACCAUCGAGUUUUUGAACGCAAGUUGCGCCCGAAGCCUUUUGGCCGAGGGCACGUCUGCCUGGGCGUCACGCAUCGCGUCGCCCCCCACAAUUCUCCGUAAAGGGAACAUGUGUUUUGGGGGCGGAUAUUGGUCUCCCGUGCUCAUGGCGUGGUUGGCCGAAAUAGGAGUCCUUUCGAUGGACGCACGAGCUAGUGGUGGUCGUAAAAACCCUCGUCUUUUGUUUCGUGCUGUUGCUCGCAAGGUAAACUCUUUAAAAACCCCAAUGUGCCGUCUCUUGACGACGCUUCGACCGCGACCCCAGGUCAGGCGGGACUACCCGCUGAGUUUAAGCAUAUCAAUAAGCGGAGGA